CCUUUAUGAUGACUUGCCAUGCUAAUACUGAAGAAUCAGUCCAGUCCAUGUGGGACAAUGGUGCUGGGUUCUAGUGAGUUCAAAAAGCAGUACUGAAAGUG
Non-coding RNA from Lingula anatina, 101 nucleotides. The record is from Rfam. Lineage: Eukaryota; Metazoa; Brachiopoda; Lingulata; Lingulida; Lingulidae.